Trematomus bernacchii (emerald rockcod) is the source of this 573-nucleotide long non-coding RNA. RefSeq lists it as uncharacterized. The transcript has 2 exons. The record is from RefSeq and is a predicted model, not a curated record. Lineage: Eukaryota; Metazoa; Chordata; Actinopteri; Perciformes; Nototheniidae.
CAGGUGCAUCCUGGGUGCAGCUGGAGUCCUUAAUGCUAACGGUGGAUGAUGCUUCAGGUGACAUGUGCUUCUACCUUCAGUUAGGUGUGUGAGGACUUUCUGCCGUUUCGGAUUUGAACCCGUUUCCCCAGUGACUGCAGAGCCUCGUUUACUUCAAAAUGUUUGAGACUUUGACGCAUGGACGUGGGACAGAACGUCUAAAUGGACUGAUGUUAUUCUUUGAGAAUGAACGAGCAGAACGGUUGAAUACUAGAGGACUUCGCGGUGCACAGAGCUCGCAGAAUGAAGUUUAAACGAUAUUGAGAUAUUCCACUGGAUAAGGGAGACACUUUGAAAUGCUGCUGGUGCUACGUGAGAAGUCAGAGGAUUAUCAGAGGGAGGAGGUUUCGUCCACUGAGGCCAAGACUGCCAUACAACAUUUCAAAGCAGUCCAUCUUAAGCUGUUGAGAUAUUUCAUUCUGGACCAAACUGGCGAACAGCUAUGUGCAUACUGAUUGAAUCUGCAGUAUCUUCACUGCGUUGUGAACGUUUAUAUCUUUGUUUUGUUUCAGUAAAUCAUCAUCAUAUCAUUUU